UUUCCUUUUCUUCUUUGUCUUUCUCAUUUUUCUCCUUUCCUUCUUCAACUUUGAUUUUCCAAAUCAAACUCUACAAAACUUUUAGUAAGUGAAAAUCAAAUUCUUCUUUUAAGCUUGAAAGAUUUGGGCUUUCUUAAUCAAGGAAAACAAAGGUGAGUAAUUUUAAUUGCUUGAUUUUGCUGUAAAUUAGGGUUAAUGAUAUGAAAUUGUUGAUGAUUAUGUGUUUUGGAAUUGUUUAAUCAAGAGUAAACAUGCUUUUACUUGUGAUCUUGAAGCUGAAAUUUCUGGGCAGAUUUUUCACUUAUGAUUUCGUGACCUUAGAGGCUUUAUCUCGAAAAUUUUCAAACAUGAAAGUUGUAGGUAUAUGUCUUAAGAAUAUCUCUGUAAAAUGGUUUUGCAGAUUGUUGAGUGAGUAGGAACUUAUGAGGUUCGAUUUUGCUGCUACUCUGUUUUUGGUUCAGCAGGUGACCUGGUUUUUGUGCUGACAUUUUGAGGCAUUUAGAGGCUGAACCAAGCAGAGAGUUAAACAUGAAAGUUGUUCAUUUAUAUAUCUAGUAUAUGUCUGCAAAAUUUCAUAAUUUUUGGUUGAGUAUAACGUGAGAUAUGUUGAACUUAAUAUGGCCUUCCCGAAACUGUUUUAAGCAGAAAUCGGGCUUAGGAUUCAGAAAUUUAUUGCUAAUUUUGUGUUUCAUAACUUAAGCUAGAGAAGUCCAAAUUGAGUAAAAUUAGUGUCUAUAGAAACUUUAGAAUGUUAAAUUUAUAUCUGGAGAGUUUCAUCAAAAAAUUCAUUCGUUUGGUUGGUCAUUUAAUAGGAAACUUUUUGCUGUUCUGUUUAGAUGAAAAUUUGAGCAGCUGUAUAGAAAAUGCCAUAACUAUUUCUAUACCAAUGAUUUUGAAGUGAUUCUUUCUGCUAUGGUUUCUAUAAAAAUGGAAGUGUAAUUCUGAAAAAUAUGAGAUUUUUAUUAAUUGUACAUAAGUUUUGGUGUAAUUUCUAAGUCAGUACCUACAAACUGCCUUCAUCAACAAAUAUGUUGAUUUGUUGUCAUUCAUCUCAUGCAUCAUAUUAAUAUCUAGAAUAUAUGUUAUUUUGUUGAAAUGUGAUAUUUUGUUGAUAGUAAAUAUAUAUAUAUAUAUAUAUAUUUAUGCCUUGUGAUUGAAUUGUAUUUGUAUUGAAUAUGUGAAUAGGUUCAUCCAAAGGCAAGGAAGUGGUAAGAGAAAAAGAAUAGGAUUACUUUGUUAUCCUAUAACUUUUGGUAAGUAUUUAAUAGACUAAACUUUGUGUAUAUUGAGUAGGGACUGCUGUUUGAUUACUUGAUAAUUUCUUGGUUGACUGAGUUGAUAUUAGUUAUGUUUUUGGCUUGUUAUAAAGUGAAUUGAUUGUGAUGUGUUGUGAAGUGAAAUGAUUGUGAUUAAGGAUUGAUGACUUUUGUAUGGAUAUUGUGUGAUCGGGAAAGCUGAGCCGGGCGGAUAGCUACCCGAGUAUGUGAGAUGGCAAGACUGAGCCGGGCGGAUAGUCUUGUCAAGUGGUUACUGAAAUUUAAAAAAUGUGAGGAAAUGUAAGGAUGAGUCAUCUGAUCCUAAUUUGAUAGAAAUAAUGUGGAAUUGAAUUAUUUGACUUGGUUGAGUUUGAGAUUAUUUGCAUUACGUGAGAUGAAAUUAUAUGUUUAUGAGGAUAACUGAAAUGGUUGAUUUUGUGAUUGUUAGUUAAGUGUUGGUAUAAUUUUCUGUAUUGAUAAAGAUUUGAUAAUUCUAGCCUAAUAUACUAUAGUUUAGUAAAUUAAAUGCUUAUUGAGUCGCUAGCUCAUUCCUUAGCAAAUUUUUUUUUUCAGAUUAGUGCAGUUGUAGAUAGUCUUAGCUGUGCAUUGCUCUCUUUGCAUCAGUCAAUAUUAUCAGGUGGGCCAGAGGAGUUAUCUAAAGCAUUGGAGCAUUUUGGGAACUUGUGUGAAUUAAACUACUGUAUAAAUAUUUCUUAUAUAUAUUAAGUAUGUCAUGCCACUUAAAUUGUAUGAAUGUAUAUUGUAACUAAGUAGUAAAUUAUGUUUAUAAAGUUAUAUAUAUAUAUAUAUUGCUAUUCAAUGGAAAGUUUGAGUUGGGGUGUUACAAUGGAUCUCGGUGAUUCCCGCCUGAACCGAAUAACCGUACCGAAAAAAUACCAGAACCGAAAUAACCGAAAGUUUUUAUAACCAAAUUAAACCGAUCUGAAUUUUUUUACUAUUACAGUAUGGUAUUGGUUCUUUAGUAAAAACCGUACCAUAACCGUACCAGAAUCGAUCCGUCUUGUACUGAGCCGGACCAAACCGUAGAACUGAAAUUUUUACAUAUAUUUAUUAAUAAUUAUUUAUAUUAUAUAAAAAAUACAUAUUAAAAAUAAC
This 2372-nucleotide long non-coding RNA is filed under the name Ricinus communis (castor bean). RNAcentral's name for it is "long non-coding RNA (RCOM_LNC000718)". Lineage: Eukaryota; Viridiplantae; Streptophyta; Magnoliopsida; Malpighiales; Euphorbiaceae. The record is from RNAcentral.